AUACGGAGGGGGUUAGCGUUGUUCGGAAUUACUGGGCGUAAAGCGCACGUAGGCGGAUUAAAAAGUUAGAGGUGAAAUCCCAGGGCUCAACCCUGGAACUGCCUUUAAAACUAGUAGUCUAGAGUUCGAGAGAGGUGAGUGGAAUUCCAAGUGUAGAGGUGAAAUUCGUAGAUAUUUGGAGGAACACCAGUGGCGAAGGCGGCUCACUGGCUCGAUACUGACGCUGAGGUGCGAAAGCGUGGGGAGCAAACAGGAUUAGAAACCCCAGUAGUCC
RNAcentral lists this ribosomal RNA (274 nucleotides) under uncultured bacterium. Its description in RNAcentral is "partial 16S ribosomal RNA". It matches the Rfam family "Bacterial small subunit ribosomal RNA", at positions 523 to 796 of the family's 1533-position model. The record is from RNAcentral.